GGGAGAUAAGUUAGUUAAUAAUUUUUUUAUUAUAGAAAUAUUUAUUAAAUUAGUUAAAUUUGUGCCAGCAGCUGCGGUUAGACUAUAAAUUUGGUUGAUAUUUUUUAGGGUUUAUAAGAUGAUUUAUUUAAAAUAUAAAUUUUUGGUGAAAUAAUAAUUUGAGUUUUGAUAGUAUUUAUUAUGAUAUUUUUUUAUAAAAGCAGGAUUAGAUACCCUGUUAUUAAAAAUUAUAUUUUUUUUCUAAGGAUUAAAGUUAAAUUUAGAAGGUUUGGCGGCUGAAAUAAAUUAAAGGGGUUUGUUUUUUUAUUUGACGGGGCUCAUUGUUUUUUACUUGUUUUGUUUAGUAUACCGUCAUUUAGAUAUUCUAUAAUUAGUUAAUUGUUGGAAUAGAUUUUAGAAAGUUAGAUCAAGGUGCAAAUAUAGGUAAGGGUAAAUUAACUACAAUAAUGUAUUAUUAUACGUGUUUUUUUUAAAUUAGAAUUAUAGGCGGAUUUAAUUGUAAUUAAAAUUAUAUGAAAGUUAUUUCAGUGUACAAAUUGCCCGUCAUUCUCUAUGAGACAAGUCGAAACAAAGUAGGGAUAUCGGAAGUUGGACCUA
This 597-nucleotide ribosomal RNA is filed under the name Pseudoniphargus ruffoi. RNAcentral describes it as "12S ribosomal RNA". Lineage: Eukaryota; Metazoa; Arthropoda; Malacostraca; Amphipoda; Allocrangonyctidae. The record is from RNAcentral.